RNAcentral lists this ribosomal RNA (750 nucleotides) under Triticum aestivum (bread wheat). Its description in RNAcentral is "partial small subunit ribosomal RNA". Lineage: Eukaryota; Viridiplantae; Streptophyta; Magnoliopsida; Poales; Poaceae. The record is from RNAcentral.
AUGCGACGUACCACGCACGCGCGCCCUAAUAAAAUAAAAAGACCAAGAAACCACACACGAUCGUCCAACGCAUCACCUCGCUACCCUCAAAAGAUGGCCGGCUGGACCUCCAUCCCGGCGGAGCUCCUCGCGGAAAUCUCCGGCCGCCUGCCAGGCAACGCGGACCGGAUCCACAUCCAUCAGGUAUGCUCCCACUGGCGCGCAUCCACUUCCCGGCUGGCCGCCUGCCGUCCAUGGAUCGUCGCCGGCCGCGAACCAUGGAGCCUGGUUGGCCCGGUCGGCGAACACUCGUUUUGGCUGCCCCUUGGCGGCCGACGGGUCUAUUUGAGCACGCCGGCGGGCCUACCAUACUGCUGCGGCACGCCCCUUGGCUGGCUUGCUCUCAUGGACAACCUGCAAUCCCCAACGCGGUUUGUCCUCCGGGAGCCCCUCUCCGAAGCUGAGAUCUUUCUGCCCUGUUUUCCCGCCGUUGUCCAAGUCUUCCUCUCAGGGGACCCGCUCACCUCGCCUGAUUGGAUGGCGAUCGCGAGCCAGAAGCUCUACACUACUGGCACUUGCAUGGGCCAGACGCUCUUCUUCUGGCGGCCUGGAGAUGCCGCAUGGACUAUGCAGCUCGAGCGGCCAAACGGCAGAAUCGAUAGCGCGGCAUUCCAUCAGGGGAAAUUCUACUUCACCGAGAUCGGUUCCCUGGCGGUGGCAGGCCGACGUGGUAUGUGGUCGCAUUCAAUGGCGAAUUGCUGCUGGUUGUGA